This 502-nucleotide ribosomal RNA is filed under the name uncultured bacterium. RNAcentral describes it as "partial 16S ribosomal RNA". It matches the Rfam family "Bacterial small subunit ribosomal RNA", at positions 28 to 507 of the family's 1533-position model. The record is from RNAcentral.
GACGAACGCUGGCGGCGUGCUUAACACAUGCAAGUCGAACGGUGAAGGGGUCUGCUUUUGUGGGCCCUGGAUGAGUGGCGAACGGGUGAGUAACACGUGAGUAACCUGCCCCCUUCUUCUGGAUAACCGCAUGAAAGUGUGGCUAAUACGGGAUAUUCUGGGUCUGUCGCAUGAUGGGUCUGGGAAAGAUUGCGCCUUUGGGUGUUUUUGGUGGGGGAUGGGCUCGCGGCCUAUCAGCUUGUUGGUGGGGUGAUGGCCUACCAAGGCGGCGACGGGUAGCCGGCCUGAGAGGGUGGACGGUCACACUGGGACUGAGACACGGCCCAGACUCCUACGGGAGGCAGCAGUGGGGAAUAUUGCACAAUGGGCGCAAGCCUGAUGCAGCGACGCCGCGUGAGGGAUGGAGGCCUUCGGGUUGUAAACCUCUUUCGCCAGUGAAGCAGGCCUGCUCCGUGUGGGUGGGUUGACGGUAGCUGGAUAAGAAGCGCCGGCUAACUACGUG